Molecule: unclassified non-coding RNA, 253 nt
Filed under: uncultured Gammaproteobacteria bacterium
Lineage: Bacteria; Pseudomonadati; Pseudomonadota; Gammaproteobacteria
Description: contains 16S-23S intergenic spacer region
Rfam family: Bacterial small subunit ribosomal RNA
Source: RNAcentral
UACGUAGGGUGCAGGCGUUAAUCGGAAUUACUGGGCGUAAAGCGUGCGCAGGCGGCUACUCAAGUCAGAUGUGAAAUCCCCGGGCUUAACCUGGGAACUGCGUUUGAAACUGGGUGGCUAGAGUGCGGCAGAGGGGGGUGGAAUUCCACGUGUAGCAGUGAAAUGCGUAGAUAUGUGGAGGAACACCGAUGGCGAAGGCAGCCCCCUGGGCCUGCACUGACGCUCAUGCACGAAAGCGUGGGGAGCAAACAGG